RNAcentral lists this ribosomal RNA (301 nucleotides) under uncultured bacterium. RNAcentral's name for it is "partial 16S ribosomal RNA". It matches the Rfam family "Bacterial small subunit ribosomal RNA", at positions 509 to 807 of the family's 1533-position model. The record is from RNAcentral.
CAGUAGCCACGGUAAUACGUAGGUGGCAAGCGUUGUCCGGAAUUAUUGGGUGUAAAGGGCUCGCAGGCGGUUUCUUAAGUCUGAUGUGAAAGCCCCCGGCUCAACCGGGGAGGGUCAUUGGAAACUGGGAAACUUGAGUGCAGAAGAGGAGAGUGGAAUUCCACGUGUAGCGGUGAAAUGCGUAGAGAUGCGGAGGAACACCAGUGGCGAAGGCGACUCUCUGGUCUGUAACUGACGCUGAGGAGCGAAAGCGUGGGGAGCGAACAGGAUUAGAUACCCCUGUAGUCCCUGUCUCUUAUAC